CGCUGGCGGUAGGCUUAACACAUGCAAGUCGUGCGAGAAAGUAUCUUCGGAUAUGAGUAGAGCGGCGGACGGGUGAGUAACGCGUAGGAAUCUACCUAGUAGAAGGGGAUAGCCCGAGGAAACUCGGAUUAAUACCGUAUACCUCCUUAGGGAGAAAGAGGGCCUCUCUUGAUGCUCUCGCUAUUAGAUGAGCCUGCGUAAGAUUAGCUUGUUGGUGAGGUAAUGGCUCACCAAGGCUACGAUCUUUAGCUGGUCUGAGAGGACGAUCAGCCACAUUGGGACUGAGACACGGCCCAGACUCCUACGGGAGGCAGCAGUGGGGAAUAUUGGACAAUGGGCGCAAGCCUGAUCCAGCCAUACCGCGUGUGUGAAGAAGGCCUUCGGGUUGUAAAGCACUUUAAGCAGGGAGAAAAAGCUAUAAGUUAAUACCUUAUAGCCCUGAUGUUACCUGCAGAAUAAGCACCGGCUAAUUCCGUGCCAGCAGCCGCGGUAAUACGGAAGGUGCAAGCGUUAAUCGGAAUUACUGGGCGUAAAGCGCGCGUAGGUGGUUUGUUAAGUUGGAUGUGAAAGCCCUGGGCUCAACCUAGGAACUGCAUCCAAAACUAACUCACUAGAGUACGAUAGAGGGAGGUAGAAUUCAUAGUGUAGCGGUGGAAUGCGUAGAUAUUAUGAAGAAUACCAGUGGCGAAGGCGGCCUCCUGGAUCUGUACUGACACUGAGGUGCGAAAGCGUGGGUAGCGAACAGGAUUAGAUACCCUGGUAGUCCACGCCGUAAACGAUGACAACUAGCUGUUGGGAAACAAAGUUUCUCAGUGGCGCAGCUAACGUUUUAAGUUGUCCGCCUGGGGAGUACG
Molecule: ribosomal RNA, 854 nt
Filed under: uncultured Gammaproteobacteria bacterium
Lineage: Bacteria; Pseudomonadati; Pseudomonadota; Gammaproteobacteria
Description: bacterial SSU rRNA
Rfam family: Bacterial small subunit ribosomal RNA
Source: RNAcentral